AGCGGGAUCGGCUCAAUGUGUGAAUCUGGCUUGGGGUAGUUCCCUGGUCCGAGUUGUGCACUAUGGACGUUUCGUCUGCGUUUGUAAUGGCGGUGGAAGUCCGUUGAAACACGGCACCUCAGAGGGUCACAGUCCUGUACCACCUGCCUGCACUCGCGCCAAUGACAAGCGCUCCUCGAGUCGCGUAGUUUUGUAAUGCUGCGCCAAGUGGGAGGUAGAGACCUUCUAAGGCUAAAUAUGAUGACGUGACCGAUAGCACACAAGUACCGCGAGGGAAAGGUGAAAAGCAACCAUGAAAAAUGGGUUGAAACAGUAGUGAAAGCGCUACCGGGAUAAGGGCUAUCGGGUGCUGGGGCUUCUCGGGUGUGCUUCAGUGCUACCCUUGGAGACGGCCCGCGUGGGUUGAUUGGGGCGAUAGACGCGCUGUAGGAAUUCGGCUGCCUUCGGGCAGUGUUGUAGCCUGCGGUUGCUGAUCCUCCUGCGA
This 484-nucleotide ribosomal RNA is filed under the name Tulasnella cumulopuntioides. Its description in RNAcentral is "eukaryotic LSU rRNA". It matches the Rfam family "Eukaryotic large subunit ribosomal RNA", at positions 97 to 525 of the family's 3401-position model. The record is from RNAcentral. Lineage: Eukaryota; Fungi; Basidiomycota; Agaricomycetes; Cantharellales; Tulasnellaceae.